Molecule: non-coding RNA, 23 nt
Filed under: Arabidopsis thaliana (thale cress)
Lineage: Eukaryota; Viridiplantae; Streptophyta; Magnoliopsida; Brassicales; Brassicaceae
Source: RNAcentral
GCUUGACUUCUUGGCAUCGUAGU